Molecule: ribosomal RNA, 3125 nt
Filed under: sediment metagenome
Description: bacterial LSU rRNA
Rfam family: Bacterial large subunit ribosomal RNA
Source: RNAcentral
UAAAUUAAUUAAGGGUGGAUGGUGGAUGCCUUGACACGUAAUGGCGAUGAAGGACGUAGCGUAACUGCGAUAAGUCUCGGGGAGGUGUGUAGCAACCUGUGAUCCGGGAAUUUCCGAAUGGGGCAACCCGAUUGCGUAAACCGCAAUCAUCUUGCAGCAAUGCAAGGAGCGCACCCGGCGAAGUGAAACAUCUCAGUAGCCGGAGGAAAAGAGAAUAACAAUUUAUUCCCCAAGUAGCGGCGAGCGAAAAGGGAAGAGCCUAAACUUUUUUCUUGGUCGCAAGAUCAAGGAAUGAGGGUUGUAAGAUAGAGAACAUCUUGGAGUAUUCGCUAAUAAUGCGAAUUGAUUUCAAAAUAAUGCGAAUUCGUAUUAUUUGCAGUUAUUCGCGUUAUUCGCGAUUACUCCGGGGAGAAGUUAUAAAUUCAUUUGUUAGCCGAAUCCGCUGGAAAGCGGAGCCAUAGCGAGUGAUAGCCCCGUAGGCGAAAACGAAUGAACUUCUUGUUUUUUAUUCUUGAGUACUUCGAGGGAAGAUUACCUUGAAGGAAUCCGGGAGGACUAUCUCCUAAGGCUAAAUACAUUACGUGAUCGAUAGUGAACUAGUACCGUGAGGGAAAGGUGAAAAGCAGCCCGGUUAGGGCGGUGAAAUAGUACCUGAAACCAUCCACUUACAAGGACGCGGAGCCCCAAGUAUGUCUCGCAAGAGACGUGCGGGGUGACGCGGUGCCUAUUGAAGAAUGAGCCAACGAGUUUACAUGUGUUGCAAAGUCUAAUCCGCCUUGAGCGGAGGAGGCGCAGCGAAAGCGAGUUUGAAUAGAGCGUUACUUCCUCAACGUGCAACGCGCAAGCAAUUGUGCCCUGCACGUUUGGGUAGUUAGCAGUAUAUGUAAGACCCGAAACCAGACGAGCUUACCUUGGCCAGGGUGAACUCUGUAGAAAUACGGAGGGAGGCCCGCACCGGUUGACCGUGCAAUAUCAUCGGAUGAGCUGGGGUAAGGAGUGAAAAGCUAAUCGAGUUUGGUAAUAGCUGGUUCUCUCCGAAAUAGUUUUAGGACUAGCCUUAUGUGUUUCUCUUUGGGGGUAGAGCACUGGAUGAAAAUCAAAGGGCGAAAGCUCGGGUUCUCAAUCAAACUCCGAAUACCAGAGAGUAAAAGCAUAAGAGUCAGACUGCGGGGGCUAAGCUCCGUGGUCGCGAGGGGAAGAGCCCAGAUCGCCGUCUAAGGUCCCUAAAUCUGUGCUAAGUGUAAAAGGAAGUCAUUAUCCUAUAACAGGUAGGAGGUUGGCUCAGAGGUAGCCAUCCUUUAAAGAGUGUGUAACAACUCACUAUUCGAGGAUAGUGGCGCCGAAAAUUUAUCGGGGCUCAAGCACAGUACCGAAGACGCGGAUUCAUUUCGCUUCGGCGAGAUGAGUGGUAGGAGAGCAUUUCUUGUGCACUGAAGCAGGACCCGUGAGGGCCUGUGGAGCGCAAGGAAGAGAGAAUGUUGGCAUGAGUAAUCACAAAGCCGAUGAAAAAUCGGCUCCCCGCAAAUCCAAGGUUUCCUCCGCAACGAAUAUCGGCGGAGGGUUAGGCGAUCCUUAGGCAAUGGUGAAAACCGCAGCUGAUGGGUAGCUGGUUAAUAUUCCAGCCCUUCCAUUUCUUUCGAUGGGGUGACGGGAUGCAGUAUCCAGAUCAUCUUAAUGGUUUGGUGUUCUUGAUCGAGAGUGAGGUCCAGGCAAAUCCGGAUCUCGGUCCCGCAAGGGACGAACUCCAGAGUAGAGGCGACUUCGAUCUUUUGGUCGGGGGAGUCUGGAGAGCGCAUCUCCGAGAAAAACCUCUAAGGUUAGGGGAAUGGGACUCGUACCGUAAACCGCCACAGGUGGAUGAGGCGAGUAGCCUCAGGGGAACGGGUGAAUCUUCGUUAAGGAACUCGGCAAAAAAGCUAGGCGUAACUUCGGGAUAAGCCUUUCCGUCGCAAGACGGACGCAGCUAAAGUAUCUCUGGCGACUGUUUACCAAAGACACAGCUCCCUGCGAACUCGUAAGAGGAUGUAUAGGGGGUGACGCCUGACCGAUGCGAGAAGGUUAACGAUGGGGGUGCUAUGUCCGCAAGGAUGUAGUGCUCACUGUCCGAAGCCCUCGUCAAUGUCGGCCGUAACUAUAACGGUCCAAAGGUAGCGCAAUUCCUUUCCGGGUAAGUUCCGGAGCGCAUGAAUGGCGUAACGACCGGAGAACUGUCUCAACGAAGAGCCCGAUGAAAAUGCGAUACCCGUGAAGACGCGGGUUACUGGCAGUAAGACGAAAAGACCCCGGAAGCUUUACUGUAGUUUGAUAUUGACAGUAAUUGUUCAGUGCGUAGCGUAGUGGGGAGGAUUUGAAGGUUCGGUUUCGGCCGGACUGGAUCCAACAAUGAAACACCCAUCUCUGAAUGGUUACUUUCUAACCUUCGCGGCAAAAACGCGAGGGGACAGUGUCUGACGGGCAGUUUUUCUGGGGCGGAACCCUCCCAAAAGGUAACGGAGGGGCCUAUCAAGGUCGGCUUAGCGCGGAUGGAAAUCGCGCUGGACGUGUAAAGGCACAAGCCGGCUUAACUGCAAGACCUACAAGUCGCGCAGGUGCGAAAGCAGAGCUUAGCGACCCGACUAUUCUUUAUAGAAAGGUAGGAGAUAACGGAUAAAAGUUACUCCGGGGAUAACAGGCUGGUGGAGUCCGAGCGUUCCUAGCGACGACUCCGCUCGGCACCUCGAUGUCGGCUCACCACAUCCCGGGGCUGGAGAAGGUCCCAAGGGUUUGGCUGUUCGCCAAUUAAAGUGGUACGCGAGCUGGGUUCAAACCGUCAACAAAGAACCCAUAACGACAAUCGAACACGGCGGCAUGAGAAAGUAAUUUCUCAUGAAAAAUCGACUCAUAUCGGAGAAACCCUACCGGUGCAUAACCUGGUAUCGAAGGGCGAUUCCGAGGGAAGUCCUCCGACGUCAUGUCGGAGUGACCCCUUAGAGACUUGGCUACGUGUGGCCGGAUACGGAUCUGAUUCGUAUAAUACGUCGAUCUCCUUCUUCGCUCAUAUGAGCUUCGAAGGAUGAUGGUAUAGUCCAAACAUUUAGUAAUAAAUGAGUAUUGCGUGAGACAGGUUAGUCUCUAUCUACUGUCAG